UACAGAGGCCCCAAGCAUUAUCCGGAAUCACUGGGCGUAAAGGGUGUGUAGGCGGUUGUGUUAGUCUUUCGUGAAAGAUCUUCGGCUUAACCGAGGAUACGCGGCAGAAGCGGCACAACUUAGAGGUUGCGAGAGGUAAAGGGAACUCAUAGUGUAGGGGUGAAAUCCGUUGAUAUUAUGGGGAACACCAAAUGCGAAGGCACUUUACUGGCGCACACCUGACGCUGAAACACGAAAGCGUGGGAAUCGAACGGG
This 255-nucleotide ribosomal RNA is filed under the name uncultured bacterium. RNAcentral's name for it is "partial 16S ribosomal RNA". It matches the Rfam family "Bacterial small subunit ribosomal RNA", at positions 524 to 776 of the family's 1533-position model. The record is from RNAcentral.